Molecule: ribosomal RNA, 763 nt
Filed under: uncultured Streptococcus sp.
Lineage: Bacteria; Bacillati; Bacillota; Bacilli; Lactobacillales; Streptococcaceae
Description: bacterial SSU rRNA
Rfam family: Bacterial small subunit ribosomal RNA
Source: RNAcentral
GACGAACGCUGGCGGCGUGCCUAAUACAUGCAAGUAGAACGCUGAAGGAGGAGCUUGCUUCUCUGGAUGAGUUGCGAACGGGUGAGUAACGCGUAGGUAACCUGCCUGGUAGCGGGGGAUAACUAUUGGAAACGAUAGCUAAUACCGCAUAACAGCAAGUGUUGCAUGACAUUUGCUUAAAAGGUGCAAUUGCAUCACUACCAGAUGGACCUGCGUUGUAUUAGCUAGUUGGUGGGGUAACGGCUCACCAAGGCGACGAUACAUAGCCGACCUGAGAGGGUGAUCGGCCACACUGGGACUGAGACACGGCCCAGACUCCUACGGGAGGCAGCAGUAGGGAAUCUUCGGCAAUGGACGGAAGUCUGACCGAGCAACGCCGCGUGAGUGAAGAAGGUUUUCGGAUCGUAAAGCUCUGUUGUAAGAGAAGAACGAGUGUGAGAGUGGAAAGUUCACACUGUGACGGUAUCUUACCAGAAAGGGACGGCUAACUACGUGCCAGCAGCCGCGGUAAUACGUAGGUCCCGAGCGUUGUCCGGAUUUAUUGGGCGUAAAGCGAGCGCAGGCGGUUAGAUAAGUCUGAAGUUAAAGGCUGUGGCUUAACCAUAGUACGCUUUGGAAACUGUUUAACUUGAGUGCAAGAGGGGAGAGUGGAAUUCCAUGUGUAGCGGUGAAAUGCGUAGAUAUAUGGAGGAACACCGGUGGCGAAAGCGGCUCUCUGGCUUGUAACUGACGCUGAGGCUCGAAAGCGUGGGGAGCAAACAGG